GUUGAACGCUGGCGGCAUGCCUUACACAUGCAAGUCGAACGGUAACAGGUCUUCGGAUGCUGACGAGUGGCGAACGGGUGAGUAAUACAUCGGAACGUGCCUAGUAGUGGGGGAUAACUACUCGAAAGAGUGGCUAAUACCGCAUGAGAUCUACGGAUGAAAGCAGGGGAUCGCAAGACCUUGUGCUACUAGAGCGGCCGAUGGCAGAUUAGGUAGUUGGUGGGAUAAAAGCUUACCAAGCCGACGAUCUGUAGCUGGUCUGGGAGGACGAUCAGCCACACUGAGACUGAGACACGGCCCAGACUCCUACGGGAGGCAGCAGUGGGGAAUUUUGGACAAUGGGCGCAAGCCUGAUCCAGCAAUGCCGCGUGCAGGAUGAAGGCCUUCGGGUUGUAAACUGCUUUUGUACGGAACGAAAAGCCCUGGGUUAAUACCCUGGGGUCAUGACGGUACCGUAAGAAUAAGCACCGGCUAACUACGUGCCAGCCGCCGCAGUAA
This 498-nucleotide ribosomal RNA is filed under the name uncultured bacterium. RNAcentral's name for it is "partial 16S ribosomal RNA". It matches the Rfam family "Bacterial small subunit ribosomal RNA", at positions 28 to 523 of the family's 1533-position model. The record is from RNAcentral.